RNAcentral lists this unclassified non-coding RNA (1364 nucleotides) under Hevea brasiliensis (rubber tree). Lineage: Eukaryota; Viridiplantae; Streptophyta; Magnoliopsida; Malpighiales; Euphorbiaceae. The record is from RNAcentral.
GUUUUGCUUAAAAUAAUUUGGUCAAACAAAAUAAGAACACCAUAGUUCAUUUUGGAAGGUUCUGUAAUGGCGACUGCUAGGAUUGUACCCCUAAAAGCCCUCGUACAUGGAGUUUCACCAUGGAAUCCGCUCUCACGAGUCCUCCGGCUCCGUUCUCGUCCUCUAUACUCCGCCGUACGAGAUUAUUCCGCCGCCAUUUCGCCGCCUUCUAAGGCCGUUGUCUACGAUCAACACGGCUCUCCUGAUGUUGUCACUAGAGUGACGGAGCUUCCGCCGGUGGAAAUUAAAGACAAUGAUGUGUGCGUUAGAAUGCUUGCGGCUCCGAUUAAUCCUUCUGAUAUUAAUAGAAUUGAAGGAGUUUAUCCUGUCCGACCACCGUUGCCUGCAGUUGGGGGAUAUGAAGGUGUUGGAGAAGUACAUGCCAUUGGCUCUGCAGUUAAGGGUCUUUCCCCGGGAGAUUGGGUUAUCCCUUCCCCACCUUCUUCAGGGACAUGGCAGACAUACGUUGUAAAAGAACAAAGUGUGUGGCAGAAAGUUGAUAAAAGCACCCCAAUGGAGUAUGCUGCGACUGUUUUUGUCAAUCCGUUGACUGCCUUGAGAAUGCUUGAGGACUUUAUUGCAUUAAAAUCAGGGGACACUAUUGUGCAAAAUGGUGCUACAAGCAUAGUGGGGCAAUGUGUUAUUCAACUAGCUCGACUCCGUGGGAUUCAUAGCAUCAAUAUCAUUAGAGACAGGGCAGGAUCAGAUGAAGCAAAAGCCCAUCUCAAGCAACUAGGUGCUGAUGAAGUGUAUACUGAAAGCCAACUGGAAGUGAAGAAUGUCAGAGGUCUUCUGGGCAAUAUACCUGAACCUGUUUUAGGCUUUAAUUGUGUUGGUGGCAAUGCUGCUUCAUUGAUCCUAAAAUUCUUGAAGCAGGGUGGCACUAUGGUGACAUAUGGGGGGAUGUCAAAGAAACCGAUAACUGUAUCUACUUCGGCUUUUAUAUUCAAGGAACUUACCUUGACAGGAUUCUGGCUACAGAGGUGGAUGAGUUCAGACAAAGCUGAAGAGCAUCAAUCCAUGAUAGACUAUCUUUUGGGCCUAUGUCGAGAUGGGAAAUUGAAAUACGAGUUGGAAGUAUCACCUUUUGAUGAUUUUCAUACAGCUCUGGAAAAGGCAAUGGGAAAGCGAGGAAGACAACCCAAACAAGUUCUUAAAUUCUAAGUCAUGGGUACUUUUAACAUUAUUCUAAUUUGAGUGCUGUAAUCAUAAGCUUUGUUGUUAGAUCAAGCCAGUUUAGGUAAAUGUAUCCCCAAGAAAUAAUAAGACAAUUGGCAGUGCCACUCGUUAUGGCAUCUGUUCUCCUUUCUCAAAAGAGGUUCAUU